ACUCGGAUGGAUAUAAUACAACCUGCUAAGUGUCCUAGCACUUAUCGGGUUGUAUUAUCAUUGUCCGUGUCU
Molecule: microRNA precursor, 72 nt
Filed under: Propithecus coquereli (Coquerel's sifaka)
Lineage: Eukaryota; Metazoa; Chordata; Mammalia; Primates; Indriidae
Description: microRNA 374b (ENSPCOG00000007703.1)
Rfam family: mir-374 microRNA precursor family
Source: RNAcentral